GUGCUAUGGCAUGAGGGUCACAGCCUCUCGGUACAGCGCAGUUCUCUAUGUCCCACCAAACUGAUGUCUUGGCACGCACAUACUGUGCGUCUGCUCCUCCUCCUCCUCCUCCUCUGUCCAUUGCUGACAUAUAUCUCCGAUAAUCACGGAGAGAAGGGGGAAAGACGACCUCUUUAUGCAUUCCUGUGUGUGUUGUGGUUUGGUCAUUGGUGACUUUACAAGGUUGUGAUUGGUACGUUUAAAGGAGGAGUAGAUGGAAAACUUAAGGGGGCUAAGUGUUUAUUUAUGUAUUUUUGAGGCAUGUCUUCAAAAGGUAAAGAUUUUCCUCCUUUUUUUCUUUUUCCUUUUUUCUGGUAGAGAUGGUGGAGGAAACUAAAGAGCACGAGGCAAUGGUAUUUGAUGAGAAGUGAAGCUAAAAUUGAAUUGCAUACAUCACUGGCUACUGAAUUUGAUGCAGAGAAGUUGGAGAGUUUUAUUAGUGAAGUUAAUUUUGGGACUGCAAGUGAAGACUGUGCUUCGUAUAUUGUGCUUUCUCCGAACUCGAAUGGUUAGUCUUCAGGUCGAAAAAUUAUUCCAUCUGGAGACUGGAGAUUAGAUUCUGGAGGACAGAAGAAUGAUUACAAACAAAAGGAAAGAGGAGACGAUCACUUUGACGGUAGAGGAUCAAGUAAUUGGCGUCAGCAUCUUCACCGGUUUAUGGAGUAGCUAGUGGGUAUAUGAUGCAGCCUCCACCGUAAAGAAUUGUCAAAUUCACUUGUUAGAACAAUUCGGGAAAAAAUUAAUCAAUUAUCCCUAUAAAUUAUGUUUUUAAUAUAUCAUCCUUAUAAAUAUAUUUCUACUACUAA
Populus trichocarpa (black cottonwood) is the source of this 845-nucleotide long non-coding RNA. RefSeq lists it as uncharacterized. The transcript has 2 exons. The record is from RefSeq and is a predicted model, not a curated record. NCBI's taxonomy places the organism in Eukaryota, Viridiplantae, Streptophyta, Magnoliopsida, Malpighiales, Salicaceae.